AUGGCGGGUGGCAGCCCGGCAAAAGAGGAGGUGCGGACGCCUCGUGAGUUGGAGAUGCAGAUGGAAGAGGGGGUCGUGCAGCGGAAUCAGCCUCGUCGCAAGAGGAAUCGAGCUGACCUUGCUGAUGAGCUCGAGUUCUUCACGGACCUCCGCAAUACGCUGAUGAAGAAGAAGAAGAAGAAGCAGAAGAAGGAGAAGGGCACGCCCGAGAAGGAGAGGUUCGAUUCUUCCAACUCCUACCGUAGUCUGGGCACGCAGAAGGGGCUUGGUUUUCUCGACAAUCGUAUCAAGGUCUUGCGCAAGCGGAUGGGGAUAACCGCCGGAACUGCCCGCAGCUCCCCCGCGAUCUCUGAUCUGUCGGACCCCUCGGGGAAGCAUAUGAAUGGUCUCAGUGAUCUGAGUUCGACAUUAGGAGCAGAUCCAAUUUCAGAUGAUGAUGAUGGCGCUGAUGGUUCUGGUGACGACGAGGAAGAGGAUGAGAUGGAGUGUGGCAAGCCAGCCAUGGAGGAGGAGGGGGUCCAGAGGAUCACCGGCUCCACACCAAUUUCGGAGAUUGAUGCUGAGGCAGUGAUGGAGGCAGAUGCCCAAGAUACCGAUGUAUCAGAGAAACCUGAUCCCAUUCCCACCAACACAACGGCAAAAGUGUCCAUAAACAGUGAUGGCCAUGAUCGAGCUGACACUGAUUGUGUUGACGACGAUGAGGUAGACAGAGGCAAAUCAGAGGCACAAUUAGCCAAGGAGAAGAGGGUGAUGUCUACCGAGGAGCUCAAGUUUGAGUCCUUCCGUCGUGGCUGGGAGACUGCGUUUAGCCGACGCAGCGGCCACUUCCUUAACAAGACGACAGUGAGUUCCAUGCAGUUUACACACUUGGCACCUGGGCGCAUCCCAUGCGGCGCUGGCAUAGAACCUGCCGUGCAGAUCUUCUCUGUCAAGCUUACAGAGGUGAAAGGCGGCUUCAAAUUUCCAUUGUCUGUGUAUGGUGUGGUCGCUGCCCGUGAUGGCGUGGACUACAACCGCAACCUUCUCUUCUUUUGCGAUAGGAGCAACUCCCAAAAACUUACUCAAAAUGAUCCUUAUCUGCACCUGAUCGGCCCGUCUCGCGCUGUUUUCUUUGAGGACUAUGUUAAUUAUGAGGUCCAGCUUAUGGUGAAAGGCAGCGUGAAGUCUCGGGACAGGCCGUUGAUCACAGAUACAUACCGCCAUAUCCAAUGCCGUAUUGGUGUAUCCACCAUCUGCUUUCAGAACUGCUUCUGCACGAUGGAGUUACGCUUGGAGCGAUUUCUAGGUUCGGUCCAGGCCACCAUCUUUGGCGUACGUGUCGUCAAAGACAAUGGGGCGUGGCCUUUUGGACAUGGUGUUCGGGUUGCUUGCUCCCCAGCAUCACGGGAACUUAUGGAGGACAGUGAUGGUGAAAUCAAGUAUGUUGCUCAGCCUUCGUCUGGGGAAAUCUUGCUGCUUGAUUCAAAAGAUGGAAGAAGACCUGCGCAUUCAGAUGGAUACCUUUAUCUGUCAAGGCAAGUUGUUUCUGUAGAACCAAGCGGACAGCUGGAAGUUGAAAUACAGGCCUAUGCACCACCCGGCGUUCUCCCUGCAAAAGCUCAGGUCUGCUUCGAAGCCCAAGAAUGCAACAUAGAUCGUGGUCGGUGUUGCCUCCUCGGUGCUGAGGUGGAGAUCUGUGUUGCUUGGUCCCGUCUUGCUUCGGACAUGGAGAUGCUUGCGGGUGUUGACAGGGAUUUCCAAAGGGAUGAACCAGAGGUUGCGUUCACACAAGUGGGGCUGAAUGGAGAGCCUGACACGGAACGAAUCUUUUAA
This 1812-nucleotide ribosomal RNA is filed under the name Triticum aestivum (bread wheat). RNAcentral describes it as "partial small subunit ribosomal RNA". The record is from RNAcentral. Lineage: Eukaryota; Viridiplantae; Streptophyta; Magnoliopsida; Poales; Poaceae.